Molecule: long non-coding RNA, 690 nt
Organism: Carya illinoinensis
Lineage: Eukaryota; Viridiplantae; Streptophyta; Magnoliopsida; Fagales; Juglandaceae
Exons: 2
Source: RefSeq, a predicted model, not a curated record
UCUAGGAAAGAUCAUGGGAAGGAAGAUCGGGAGGCGAAGUGGAUACUUUCUCAAAGAAGUCUACAAGGAUCGAUGUCUCCAGAAUUGGAGACUAAUGGGAAGCGAUCAUCUUUGAUUGCUGAACAGGCCAGGCGGCGUGCUGAAAUAGCCAGGUUAGGGGAGAUACAUACUCUGAGAGGUCAUGUAGAGUCUGUAGUAAGGCUUAAAAAGUUGGACUUGGAUUUGAUCCAAUCGGCUCAUACAGUCUGAUGCGAUAAUGGAGAUUUAAUAUGGUUCAGUUUUUCAAUGAAGGCAAACAUGGUAGCCGUUGCUCACAUGAUUAAUUGUUGAGUGUAAUAAGCAAAAGAAAACAACAUUUAUCAUGCGAGAGGUUUUAGAAAUGGCCAGGGUGAUCUAUGCGUCGUUCUCAAUUUUUGGGCUCGAGAGGUCAGCAUUACAUCUCAGAAGAGGUCUUUGAGCUAAAUAAAUCAUGCCAUUUCUUAGUAUGAUUGCAAUUUUUUUCGAUAAAGAAAGGAUUUUCUGUCUUCAGCUUUGGAUAUUCUUAUUUUUAUUUGUGGAGCUUUAAUGUAAUAGUUAGGCAACUCCCAGACAAAUAAGGCUACUCAGAUACAUUUUUUCAAUCAGAAUUUAUUUAUCUCAUAUGGUUUGGAGGAAAUAGUUUCCUGUAAUAAGAUCGUUGUUGCUUGUGCA